Molecule: unclassified non-coding RNA, 309 nt
Filed under: Hevea brasiliensis (rubber tree)
Lineage: Eukaryota; Viridiplantae; Streptophyta; Magnoliopsida; Malpighiales; Euphorbiaceae
Source: RNAcentral
UGCAGCCAGAUGAACUCUGUCAGAUGCAUUGUAAUUUUUUUUUUUCAGGGCAAAUUGUUACUGAAACCAGAGAUCACAAAACAAAAUAAGGAUUUACAAAACAAUUUAAUGGAAGGGGGCUUCCUCAACUCUAUUUGACAGAAAUCAUAUGUUAAUUGGAAAAUGAGAAAAGAAGAGUUAAGCCCUGUUCACAAGUUUUGAAGAAGCAAAAUCCAAGCAUAUAAACCAGAAUUAAAUGAGACGCUAAAACAAUAGCUUUAAUCAGUACAGAAAAUCUUCCUCUGCAUAUAUAUAUAUAUAGAUCGAGUG